This 203-nucleotide long non-coding RNA is filed under the name Brassica napus (rape). RNAcentral describes it as "long non-coding RNA (BNAP_LNC025154)". The record is from RNAcentral. Lineage: Eukaryota; Viridiplantae; Streptophyta; Magnoliopsida; Brassicales; Brassicaceae.
UUUGGGUUUCUUAAUUAUGAGUUCGUAUUUCUUAUUCAGCUUUGCCUUGCUAGAUAAACCAAAUAAUUUUGAACUGAGUAGUUUUUAAUUCGUAUUCAGCUUUGCCUUGCUAGAUAAACCAAAUAACUAUUAUCCGAGGAAACAGGUUAUAUCAAGUGUUCCUCGGAAUUUCCUCGGUAUUUCUUAAAAAAAAAAAGAAUAAU